GGAGGAUGGGUGAGUAAUGCUUAGGAAACUGCCCAGUAGUGGGGGAUAGCCCGGGGAAACCCGGAUUAAUACCGCGUACGCCCUUCGGGGGAAAGCAGGGGCUCUUCGGACCUUGCGCUAUUGGAUGUGCCUAAAUCGGAUUAACUAGUUGGUGGGGUAAAGGCCUACCAAGGCGACCAUCCCUAACUGGUCUGAAAGGAUGAUCAACCACAUCCGGACUGAAACCCGGCCCGAACUCCUACGGGAGGCAGCAGUGGGGAAUAUUGGACAAUGGGGGCAACCCUGAUCCAGCCAUGCCGCGUGUGUGAAAAAAGCUUU
RNAcentral lists this ribosomal RNA (318 nucleotides) under Marinobacter sp. Its description in RNAcentral is "bacterial SSU rRNA". It matches the Rfam family "Bacterial small subunit ribosomal RNA", at positions 97 to 418 of the family's 1533-position model. The record is from RNAcentral. Lineage: Bacteria; Pseudomonadati; Pseudomonadota; Gammaproteobacteria; Pseudomonadales; Marinobacteraceae.